AUCAGUUCCUCUCUCACUCUUUCUCUGCUCUCACUCUCUUUCUCUUCCUCUCUCGGUGCCGGCGGCAUUGGCAGGACCGCAGGACAGCGGGUGAGUGGCGACGCCGGCGAGCGCCGAGCGGCAGCAACCACCGGGCCUGGGAGGCUGGAGCGAGGCCGAGGCGGGGUCGCGGGUCCGCAGGACGGCGGGAGCCGCCAGCCGGGAGCAGCCGAGGCCACCGAGCGGGGAGCUGGGGGGUCGGCGACGACGGUCGUCGGGGACGGGGAGCCGGCCGACUGGCCGAGCCGCCGCUGCGCCGGGCGCGCGCGGUAGAGCCGGCGUCCGACGACGACGAGCCGAGCGAGGCAGCGUCGCAGCGAGCGUGUUAGCGGGAGCCGGGAGGGGGCGCCGGGGACUGGACCAUCGGCGGCCGAGGCGGCGGCGCCGGCGUCACGGGCCCGCGGUGAGGCGAGCUGCAGGCUGCAGCCGGCCGGCGUGCGGCGUCCACUACUCCACUGUCCUGUCUGUCCAGACAGCCAGAUUGCAGGGGUAGCAACUCAGCAAGUGAGAUGUGGGGAUGGCAAAGUCAGGAGUAUGAUCUGCAGAAAGAUUUGCUAGCUGCAGACUUUGCAGAUCCAUCUAGCUGUUUGUGGAGUGAAACAAGUCAUAAUGUGGGUGAUGCUUGGAGCAUGUUCGAUGAGCAAACUCCAAUAUAACAUUGUACAGACAUAGAUUUUCAGUUCUGUGAUAUAGGAGGUGCAAGAGAAGAAAGUAAAACAAGUUUCAGUUAUAAAUUUGGACAAUUCUCGGAGUGUAGGGGCUGGUAGCACUUCUAGUUCAAGUACUAGUAGUUCUAGGGCAGUAUGUAGCUGCAAGCAUAUGUUUCUUCAAUCUCUGUUGUCUGUUCAUUUGGAUUUACUUUCUCAUUGUCAUGGAUACAUGGGACUUGUUAAUGUUAUUAGGUUUGAAUCUGAGAUGUAUGAAAAAUUGGAUUGAAUUUGGUGAGCUCAAAUUUGGGUCUGUUUAGUGGGAUUUGAUUUGAUUGACAAAAUGUGUCAGUUC
Long non-coding RNA from Oryza brachyantha (malo sina), 1041 nucleotides. RefSeq lists it as uncharacterized. The transcript has 4 exons. The record is from RefSeq and is a predicted model, not a curated record. NCBI's taxonomy places the organism in Eukaryota, Viridiplantae, Streptophyta, Magnoliopsida, Poales, Poaceae.